This 260-nucleotide long non-coding RNA is filed under the name Mus pahari (shrew mouse). Its description in RNAcentral is "lncRNA (MGP_PahariEiJ_G0004921.1)". The record is from RNAcentral. Lineage: Eukaryota; Metazoa; Chordata; Mammalia; Rodentia; Muridae.
GAAAAAAAAAGCUUGUCGAUCUUGGAUAACCUUUGGGUCAACCUGAUGGAUUUAAAAUAAGCAUCUCCUUUCAGCAACAUGAUUAAGAACUGAUACAGACAGUGGCCUCCACAUGAUAUUGAGAGGACCGCUUGAGUGUUCCUUAAGAACGUGAGGAAAGCCAAAAGAAGGCUUCAGGCUUCAAGAGGAGUCUAUGCAGCCCUUUCUGGUGAUACUUGGAAGUUGCUUGAAGGCCCACCAUAAAUAAAAGGUCAAUGGCG